Molecule: ribosomal RNA, 811 nt
Filed under: uncultured archaeon
Lineage: Archaea
Description: bacterial SSU rRNA
Rfam family: Archaeal small subunit ribosomal RNA
Source: RNAcentral
AAGAUAACCUCGGCCCAACUGAGGAUAAUAUUUCAUAGUUGAAUUGGCUUGGAAAAGUUUUUCAACAAAAGGGAUAGGGAAAAUGGUCUCUAUCCGCUAUAGGAUAGGAUCGUGUUCGAUUAUGGUAGUUGGUGAGGUAACGGCUCACCAAGCCGAUAAUCGAUAGGGGCCGUGAGAGCGGGAGCCCCGAGAUGGGUACUGAGACAACGACCCAGGCCUUACGAGGCGCAGCAGGUACGAAACCUCCACAAUACACGAAAGUGUGAUGGGGUUACCCAAAGUGUUCAUUAUUGAACUGUGGUAGGAGAGUAAUGUCCCCUACUAGAAAGGAGAGGGCAAGGCUGGUGCCAGCCGCCGCGGUAAAACCAGCUCUUCAAGUGGUCGGGAUAAUUAUUGGGCUUAAAGUGUCCGUAGCCGGUUUGGUAAGUUCCUGGUAAAAUCGGAUAGCUUAACUAUCUGUAUGCUAGGAAUACUGCUAUACUAGAGGGCGGGAGAGGUCUGAGGUACUACAGGGGUAGAGGUGAAAUCUUAUAAUCCUUGUAGGACCACCAGUGGCGAAGGCGUCAGACUGGAACGCGCCUGACGGUGAGGGACGAAAGCCAGGGGAGCGAACCGGAUUAGAUACCCGGGUAGUCCUGGCCGUAAACGAUGCAUACUAGGUGAUGGUACGGCUAUGAGCCAUAUCAGUGCCGUAGGGAAACCGUUAAGUGUGCCGCCUGGGAAGUACGGUCGCAAGGCUAAAACUUAAAGGAAUUGGCGGGGGAGCACCACAAGGGGUGAAGCCUGCGGUUCAAUUGGAUUCAACGCCGGG